Molecule: ribosomal RNA, 490 nt
Filed under: uncultured bacterium
Lineage: Bacteria
Description: partial 16S ribosomal RNA
Rfam family: Bacterial small subunit ribosomal RNA
Source: RNAcentral
GAUGAACGCUAGCUACAGGCUUAACACAUGCAAGUCGAGGGGCAGCAUGGUCUUAGCUUGCUAAGGCCGAUGGCGACCGGCGCACGGGUGAGUAACACGUAUCCAACCUGCCGUCUACUCUUGGACAGCCUUCUGAAAGGAAGAUUAAUACAAGAUGGCAUCAUGAGUCCGCAUGUUCACAUGAUUAAAGGUAUUCCGGUAGACGAUGGGGAUGCGUUCCAUUAGAUAGUAGGCGGGGUAACGGCCCACCUAGUCUUCGAUGGAUAGGGGUUCUGAGAGGAAGGUCCCCCACAUUGGAACUGAGACACGGUCCAAACUCCUACGGGAGGAAGCAGUGAGGAAUAUUGGUCAAUGGGCGCAGGCCUGAACCAGCCAAGUAGCGUGAAGGAUGACUGCCCUAUGGGUUGUAAACUUCUUUUAUAAAGGAAUAAAGUCGGGUAUGUAUACCCGUUUGCAUGUACUUUAUGAAUAAGGAUCGGCUAACUCCGUG